Molecule: long non-coding RNA, 701 nt
Organism: Raphanus sativus (radish)
Lineage: Eukaryota; Viridiplantae; Streptophyta; Magnoliopsida; Brassicales; Brassicaceae
Exons: 3
Source: RefSeq, a predicted model, not a curated record
AUUAUCAUAUCAAAAAGACUCUAAUACCCCUUAACAAAACAAAGCCCAACUGAAUCAUCUUCCUUUUUCCUUCGAAACCUUCAGACGCCGUAAAAAAACCCAGAAAUCUCCAAUUUCAUCUCACUCGAUUGAACAACAUUCCUUCGAUUCUAUUCAUCAUCUCGUGUGCUAAUCCAAUAUGCAUCCAUACUUUCAUCAUCUCGUGUGCUACUCUCUCUCUAUGCUUUAAUUUUAAAUCUCAAAUUCCCGAAAAUAUCUAGAGAAGGCGUUUGUCGUCGAAAACACAUGUCUCAAGCCGAAUUAAAUCGUCUCUAUGAAGCAUUCCGACACACUUACACAUGAAAUCAAGUCAAACGCCAUUUUCGUUUCUUCAAAGAGGAAGAAUCUCGUCAGGGCAUCUCAUCGAAUUAGAGCGACGAGAAGUCCCCGUACGAUACUCUGGAGCUAGAACGAGAAACAGAGGAGGAGCAGAGUAAGGUGGUAUACAGAUGAUUAGCCAAAUAUUAUCAUCUCAGUUUCUCUCAUGUAAAUUUUGUCUUUAUUCUACAAUCUCCCGACAAAUGUUUGCUCUUGUGCUGUUUUCAUUUGUUUGUUUUUAGGUGAAUCUUCACGUUCUUGUUUGUCUUUUCUGUUCAAAUCAUUAACCUCUUUGACAGUUACCAAGCUUCAUGUAUAAUGUUCUUAAGCCUUAGUUACACCCA